RNAcentral lists this transfer-messenger RNA (197 nucleotides) under Chloroflexota bacterium. RNAcentral describes it as "partial transfer-messenger RNA". It matches the Rfam family "transfer-messenger RNA", at positions 174 to 374 of the family's 374-position model. From Rfam's summary of the family: Bacterial tmRNA, also known as 10Sa RNA or SsrA, is named for its dual tRNA and mRNA-like properties. Its role is to liberate the mRNA from a stalled ribosome. To accomplish this part of the tmRNA is used as a reading frame that ends in a translation stop signal. Lineage: Bacteria; Bacillati; Chloroflexota. The record is from RNAcentral.
GGGGAGCAGGCGCCAUCAAGUCGGGAUGCGGCAGCCCAGACACCGAUAGGGGUAGCCUAAGACACAUCGGCUGGCGAUGCGGGGACUCCGCCGAUAGAGGCCUCGCAGAGCGACAAACAAAGUAGCGGCUAAGCCUGUAGCAUAUCCUACUGGGGUCUCUUCUGGACGGGGAGUUCAACUCUCCCCCGUCUCCACCA